CCUACGGGUGGCAGCAGUGGGGAAUAUUGCACAAUGGGGGAAACCCUGAUGCAGCGACGCCGCGUGAAGGAAGAAGUAUUUCGGUAUGUAAACUUCUAUCAGCAGGGAAGAAAAUGACGGUACCUGACUAAGAAGCCCCGGCUAACUACGUGCCAGCAGCCGCGGUAAUACGUAGGGGGAAAGCGUUAUCCGGCUUUACUGGGUGAAAAGGGAGCGUAGGCGGCGAUGCAAGGCAGAAGUGAAAGCCCGGGGCUCAACUCCGGGACUGCUUUUGAAACUGUGUUGCGAGAGUGCAGGAGAGGUAAGUGGAAUUCCUAGUGUAGCGGUGAAAUGCGUAGAUAUUAGGAGGAACACCAGUGGCGAAGGCAGCUUACUGGACUGUAAAUGACGCUGAGGGUCGAAAGCGUGGGGAGCAAACAGGAUUAGAUACCCGAGUAGUC
RNAcentral lists this ribosomal RNA (440 nucleotides) under uncultured bacterium. RNAcentral describes it as "partial 16S ribosomal RNA". It matches the Rfam family "Bacterial small subunit ribosomal RNA", at positions 338 to 795 of the family's 1533-position model. The record is from RNAcentral.